GACUCUCGGCAACGCAUAUCUUGGCUCUUGCAUCGAUGAAGAACGUAGUGAAAUGCGAUACUUGGUCUGAAUUGUAGAAUCCCAUGAACCAUCGAGUCUUUGAUCGCAAGUUGCGCCCAAAGCCACUAGGUCGAGGGCACACCCGCCUAGGGGCGA
Vigna angularis (adzuki bean) is the source of this 156-nucleotide ribosomal RNA. RefSeq annotates it as 5.8S ribosomal RNA. Lineage: Eukaryota; Viridiplantae; Streptophyta; Magnoliopsida; Fabales; Fabaceae. The record is from RefSeq and is a predicted model, not a curated record. The transcript has a single exon.